UACGAGAGGCCCAAACGUUAUUCGGAUUUACUGGGCUUAAAGAGUUCGUAGGCGGUCUAGCAAGUGAGGUGUGAAAUCCCUUGGCUCAACCAAGGAAUUGCGCUUCAAACUGCUAGGCUCGAGGGAGAUAGAGGUGAGCAGAACUGAUGGUGGAGCGGUGAAAUGCGUUGAUAUCAUCAGGAAUACCAGAGGCGAAGGCGGCUCACUGGGUCUCUUCUGACGCUGAGGAACGAAAGCUAGGGGAGCAAAC
RNAcentral lists this ribosomal RNA (250 nucleotides) under uncultured bacterium. RNAcentral's name for it is "partial 16S ribosomal RNA". It matches the Rfam family "Bacterial small subunit ribosomal RNA", at positions 524 to 773 of the family's 1533-position model. The record is from RNAcentral.